GUUUACCUAAGCAAGCCUGGGCAAUGGCGGGCGCCCCUCCCCCAGCCUGGCUGCCGCCUUGCAGUUUGAUCUCAGACUGCUGUGCCAGCAAUCAGCAAGACUCCAUGGGCGUCGUAGGACCCUCUGAGCCAGGAAGUUGCGCUGUACCUGAGAGCACCGAGAUAUAACAUAAGAAGCCAUCUUGGAAUUAAAGUUGUUGAAUGGAAAUGUGGCUUCAGCCUGGCUGUGUAUCACAUCCUUCUGGUUAGGGGCAUUGCUGCAGGAAUCUGUUUAUUCUCAAUUCAAGCCAAUAUGUACUGAUUGCUCUGACCUCCUCUCGUAAACAGGCAUUCUACUGGAACGUGUAAGAUAAUUUUUGCCAUCUGUCAUUUUCUUCUUCUUGAGAAAGGAGGAGAAUUACUGAGAAACAAGAAAAUGACUUUCUUGCAGUUGGGUUAUGGCCAUGUGAAUAAUUCUUGUCAAUGAGAAUGUGAGUGAAACUGAUAUGUAAUUGCUGGUCUGAGGCACUUAAGAAAUAAAGUAAGUUUUCUGUGCUUUCCUAACCUCAUGGCUGGAAGAAAAUUCACAAUGUUUGAGUUGCAAAGUGAACAUCAGCGGAACUGAAUUGUUGAGUCAUCAUUGGAAGAAAGCUACCAAGAAGAGCUAGCUAGUCACAUCAGACAGUACGUUUCUAGAAGAAAAUUCAGGACCUAGAAACAGUUAAUAUAAGUUGUAUCCUUGGGAAUUUCCAAGCAUACCAAAUGACUACCAGGCAAGAGAAUGUUAAGCUAUACCAGACAAUUUAAUCACCUGCAUCCAGGAUAUGAAAUCCAGAAGUUUCAAUACUAUUAGCAGACUCUGACCAUCAGAAUUUUUUUUUUUUUAUACAACUUACAUUUCUCUCAUGAGAGUUUAAGUCUGCUUCCUUGUCUUAUACUCAGGGAAGAUGAAAGGCAGGUAACAUAUCCUGUAAAAUAAUUAACUGUAAGGUUGUUAAGUUAUUCUCCUGCCUUUGCUAUUGCAGUUUAAGUAAACAGUAAAUUAGUUUAAACUUUUCCUACAUCAUUACUUUAGUUAAUGAAUUCUAUUUCUUAGAGCAGUUUUAGAUUGAUAGAAAAAUUAAACAUAGAAUGCAGACAUUUCCCAUCAUCAAUUUAUUUCUAUUUAACUAAAUGGUUAAAAACUCUUAUUCUUUUGAAAACGUCACUAAGGAAUUUAUGUUGUCAAACAAUAAAGCCAUAUUUACUGAUACUGCAUGUAAGGGUUAUGACAACACAAAAGAUGCUGGGAAAAUGGAUGAGCACCUUCAAAUAAUAGUGCAUAAUGAUGUUGGACUAGCUGACAACAUUAAAGUCUGCAAAGGUAAAGGUUAGAAGAGACCUAAUGGCUUCUUCCUCUUUUUUUUUUUUUUUUUUGGCAACGGAGUCUUGCUCUGUCGCCCAGGC
This 1424-nucleotide long non-coding RNA is filed under the name Homo sapiens (human). Its description in RNAcentral is "HSALNT0046786". The record is from RNAcentral. Lineage: Eukaryota; Metazoa; Chordata; Mammalia; Primates; Hominidae.